AUUGAACGCUGGCGGCAUGCUUUACACAUGCAAGUCGAACGGUAACAGGCCUUCGGGUGCUGACGAGUGGCGAACGGGUAAGUAAUGCAUCGGAACGUACCCAGAGGUGGGGGAUAACGCAGCGAAAGCUGUGCUAAUACCGCAUGUGAUCUGAGGAUGAAAGCGGGGGACCGAGCAGCAAUGUUUGGCCUCGCGCCUUUGGAGCGGCCGAUGUCGGAUUAGCUAGUUGGUGGGGUAAAGGCCUACCAAGGCGACGAUCCGUAGCUGGUCUGAGAGGACGACCAGCCACACUGGGACUGAGACACGGCCCAGACUCCUACGGGAGGCAGCAGUGGGGAAUUUUGGACAAAGGGCGCAAGCCUGAUCCAGCAAUGCCGCGUGCGGGAAGAAGGCCUUCGGGUUGUAAACCGCUUUUGGCAGGAACGAAACGGUGUCCGCUAAUACCGGGCGCUAAUGACGGUACCUGCAGAAUAAGCACCGGCUAACUACGUG
This 492-nucleotide ribosomal RNA is filed under the name uncultured bacterium. RNAcentral's name for it is "partial 16S ribosomal RNA". It matches the Rfam family "Bacterial small subunit ribosomal RNA", at positions 29 to 507 of the family's 1533-position model. The record is from RNAcentral.